AAAAAAUUAAAAACACCGCCUUCCUUUUUUCUCCUUUCCCUCUUGCCCUAAUUAUCAAUGCUCAAAUGAAAAGGAACGACUACGAUGCAAAGUUGAAAUUGGUCGGAGAAUACAGUCUACGAUGCAAAGUUGAAAAGGAACGACUUAGCAAAAUCCGUAAUGAUGUGAGAAUGCUUCUAACUCUUGAGGACAAAGAUCCAUGAAGAAUAUUCGAAGGCGGAGCUCUCAUGAGGAGGAUGAACAGGGGCCAUUAUCUAGGGCUUUUUUCAAGGAGUGCUCUCUGCAACGUUCUCUACCUCAACUCUCCUCACUUGCGAGCGACCUCAGCUCACCUCUUUCCACCGGAGACCUUAGGCUCACCUCACCUCACCCGAGAUUGGAACGACUGCUCAAGUUUCCAAGCCCUAGGGCUGAUUAAGGGAUCUUUGAGGGUGCUUACUGAUAUCUUGUAUCCUAUGUUAAAAAAAAGAUGGAAUUGGACAUGCCUCUUGAUUACGCAUCAUUCCAACUCUCACCAAAACAUUCAAGAUGUGAAUUGAUUGUUUCCAGUAUUGGAAACAUUGAAAUGCUUGCAUCGGGUUUAGUGAAGCCAGUUUUGACACAUUUGAAGGUUGUGGAGGAACAAGUUGGAUCCUCAUCUCAAUUCAUUAAGCUUGAAGUAGAUAAACGUAAAAAUGUGGACUCAUAGUGCACAAAGGGAACACUUGAGAGAUAGUGUCCUUAUACAAAAUUUAAAGCUUAUACGUUUGAAAUUUGGAUAUAAUCAUAUAAUUGAUAGCUUUUGUCAUUAGGUUUGUUCGUUUUGUAAGUACACCUGAAAUUGUUGAACUAGUGAUCACCUUUGAUGCUGAGAUGUCUCAACUAGAAGCAGCUCGUAAAAUAUAUUUCACAGGGAUCAUCUGAUCAGCUAUCAAGUAACAUAGGUGAUGGUAGAUUAAGCACAACAACUAGGGUUGAUGCAACAAAGAAGGAGCUUUUGAGGGCAAUUGAUGUAAGGCUGACAGUUGUGAAGCAGGAUUUGAAUAUAGCUUGUGCUCGUGCCACUGCUGCUGGUUUUAACCAUGACCCAGUAGCUAACCUCUAGUUGUUUGUAGAGAGAUUUGGUGCCACUCGCCUAAAGAUCUUCGCAAAGAAGGUGGUGUUCUUUGAUUGGUUCAAGAUGAAAGUUCCUCAAUGCAAAGACUCUCAUCUUAUGGUGGUGCUUUCUAGGCUAAAAUCAAAGAUUUUAUCUAUUAUGCUACAACUUUGUGAAGUCGAAAUCAUCUCUUUUUUUUGGCUGCAAGCACAACUGAAGGCUUAGCUUUAGCUAAGUCUACUAUAUCUGAGGAAUUAGGUAUUAACAAGAUACUAAUUGUUGAUUGGGAUGUUUUCUCCUUGUGGUGAUGAUGGAUCAUAUGACAUGAAGGGUGAGGGAGAAGGUGAAGGGUACAAUAUAAAUGUUCCAUGGGAGAUGGAAAAUCUGGUGAUGCAGUUUAUAUUGCAGCAUGGGACCAUAUACCGAUCCCUGUUGCAAGAGAAUUUAAACCUGAUAUAAUUCUAGUUUCAGCAGGAUUUGAUGCAGCUAUUGGUGAUCCUCUUGGAGGCUGUUGUAUUACACCGAUCCCUAUUGUAUUUUUAAACAGCUAUGGGAGGUUCCAGAAGAGGAAUUCAAUGAUGUGAUAGAUACUAAUCUGAAAGGAGUAGAAAAUAGGUUACGUCACUUCAUUCCUCUUAUGAUUGAGAAAAAAACAAGGGAUUCUUGUUAAUAUGUCGUCUGGGUGGGGAAGAUCUGCUGCAGCACAGGGAUAGGGACAGUGGAGGUGGUCAAGUGAGAUCCCGUUGCUUUUAUUUGGGUCUAGUGUUUAUAUUUGGGACUGGAUAAUAAGUAGGAAAGUGGCUGUUUAUACCGUAUAUCUUCAACCCAUCUGGCUUCGAAUGGCAGAAAGCUGUGGAAGAUUUUGAUGAUUGGACUAAGUGGCUUAUGUAUAAAGGUGGAGUUGGAGUGAAAGGAGACAAUAGUUGGGAAUCUUGGCGGGAUGAAGAACAGGCACAUAUCCAGAAAAUUAGAGGGCGUGUACUUGAAACUAUAUUGUGCUUGAGGUUCUUCAUAUUUCAAUACGAGAUAGUCUAUAAGCUCCAGCUCACUGGAAAUCAUACAUCAUUAUUGCUUUACGGGUUCUCAUGGGUGGUGUUAGAUGAAAUUGUGAUGAUAUACUCUCUAGUUCAUAGGAUCAAGGAUUGUCUAUUAGCCUAAGGUCACAAGAAUUAUCGGAGCAGGGGUUCAUUGGUCUUAAAGAAUUAUGAAAGGCAAG
Lactuca sativa (garden lettuce) is the source of this 2291-nucleotide long non-coding RNA. RefSeq lists it as uncharacterized. The record is from RefSeq and is a predicted model, not a curated record. Lineage: Eukaryota; Viridiplantae; Streptophyta; Magnoliopsida; Asterales; Asteraceae.